AAGUUUGAAACACAAAGGAAUUGACGGGGGCCCGCACAAGCGGUGGAUUAUGUGGUUUAAUUCGAUGAUACGCGAGGAACCUUACCAAGGCUUAAAUGGGAAUUGAUCGGUUUAGAAAUAGACCUUCCUUCGGGCAAUUUUCAAGGUGCUGCAUGGUUGUCGUCAGCUCGUGCCGUGAGGUGUUAGGUUAAGUCCUGCAACGAGCGCAUCCCCUGUCACUAGUUGCCAUCAUUCAGUUGGGGACUCUGGUGAGACUGCCUACGCAAGUAGAGAGGAAGGUGGGGAUGACGUCAAAUCAUCACGGCCCUUACGCCUUGGGCCACACACGUAUUACAAUGGCCGGUACAGAGGGCAGCUACACAGCGAUGUGAUGCAAAUCUCGAAAGCCGGUCUCAGUUCGGAUUGGAGUCUGCAACUCGACUCUAUGAAGCUGGAGUCGCUAGUAAUCGCGCAUCAGCCAUGGCGCGGUGAAUACGUUCCCGGGCCUUGUACACACCGCCCGUCAAGCCAUGGGAGUCUGGGGUACCUGAAGUCGGUGACCGUAAAAGGAGCUGCCUAGGGUAUAACAGGUAACUAGGGCUAAGUCGUAAC
RNAcentral lists this ribosomal RNA (591 nucleotides) under uncultured bacterium. Its description in RNAcentral is "bacterial SSU rRNA". It matches the Rfam family "Bacterial small subunit ribosomal RNA", at positions 890 to 1492 of the family's 1533-position model. The record is from RNAcentral.